AAAUAUUUUUUAUAUCAAUAUCUCAUUAAAAUUGUGUAUGUAUAUCAAAGUUAUGUAUAAAUGUAAAUAUAUUUAUAGGUACAUAUAAUUUUGUAAAAAAAACAAUUUAAAAUUAAAAAAAAAAAGUGUUCUCUACUCCCUUUUUAUUUACAGUAUUUUGUAUGCCAAAUUACACAAAAAUAUAUGAUGUAGUAGGUAGGCCAAUUCUUGCAUUUAUGCAGUGAGUGUGAGGCAACACUGAUGCAUUCCAGCUACAUUGGGACCUCUCCUUCAUUCUUUAAGGCAGAGUGAGUUAGUAGCAACAAAUUUAUCAGCAGAGUGACUUUGAUCUAAAGUUGUUUCCAUCAAACACUGAUAGCAUCAUCAAUGCAUCACUUGAAAGUUCAAGAUAUUGAUCAAAGUCAGAACAUCCUAUAAUUGAACUUGCACUCCAUGGAUGGGGUUGAACAUGUGCAGCAUUCUUGUAUUUAUCAAAUGUCCAUUUAAUUAUCUGAAUAGGAACACAAAACACAAUUUAGCUUUAAAAAUAUGGUAAUCAUGAACCAAGAAGACCUUUUAUUCAAGGUACACUAGUUGGUAAAUUUAUGAAAACCAACCAAAGACCACACCUGGGAUGAAUAAGAGCUAACAGCUCCAGAAGCCAAAGAAUAACAGAAGCAACUGCACACAUGCCUGCCUCCAAAGCAUCCAAUCCAGUAGUUCAAAGACUAGCGGACUGCAGAACCAAUUACUCUUCUCUGCUCUUUAGCUCUAUCAUAGGAUCCUUUUCAGCUUUCUCACAUCUGAAUCAGAAUCCAUGAAUAAUCCAACUAACUGAUAAGGUGGAGAAGAAUCCAAUUCCAUUUUGACUAGCAUGCAAAAUAUAUAUCCCAAUGCAUUUUCUCUGACAUUGAUUAGUGUUGUAGGCUUGCUGCAAUUUUGCCCCUCUCCCAUCCCAUGGGAUAGCCAGCAAGGGGCGAAGAAGUGAUUAAAGUAGGCCAAAAUAAAUCAGUGAGGGCACAUUAUUAUGUAGAGGACCUUUCCUCAAUAUGAUAAGUGAACUGCCAAAAACUGAAGAAAUAACCUUGGGGUCCUGAUACUCAUGUCAGGCAAAGUUUCCUCUUAUGUUCGUGGGAAUUGGGAAGGUAUUGGACCUUUUUCAUGGCUAAUGACUGCGAACCUCUUUAUUGUUACUGGCAGCUGUCUCAGGCUUCAAAGCAUUGAUAUUCAACAUCUUUGUGCAUGCCAGCUUCAAAGCAUUGAGAUUCAACAUAUUUAAUGCAUGCAGUACUAGUGCAAAAGGUUGGGAAUAAUAAUCAUUCAUUGAUUUACUCUUCAUAAGAUGAUUGUCUGAAGAUAAUUUGUGAUGUCCCUUUGCUGUUUACUGAGAUCAAGAAG
This 1377-nucleotide long non-coding RNA is filed under the name Phaseolus vulgaris (common bean). RNAcentral describes it as "long non-coding RNA (PVUL_LNC003219)". Lineage: Eukaryota; Viridiplantae; Streptophyta; Magnoliopsida; Fabales; Fabaceae. The record is from RNAcentral.